CUGAGAAGAAACCCCCACUCUUCUGCUGUGUGGUCAAUCACAGAAGAUCUGGUAGACACUAAAACAGUUUUCAAAGAUAUCCUUCACACUGGGC
Unclassified non-coding RNA from Fukomys damarensis (Damara mole-rat), 94 nucleotides. NCBI's taxonomy places the organism in Eukaryota, Metazoa, Chordata, Mammalia, Rodentia, Bathyergidae. The record is from Ensembl.